This 233-nucleotide ribosomal RNA is filed under the name Chaetoceros affinis. RNAcentral's name for it is "partial Bacterial small subunit ribosomal RNA". It matches the Rfam family "Bacterial small subunit ribosomal RNA", at positions 91 to 342 of the family's 1533-position model. Lineage: Eukaryota; Bacillariophyta; Thalassiosirophyceae; Chaetocerotales; Chaetocerotaceae. The record is from RNAcentral.
UCUAGCGGCGGACGGGUUAGUAACGCGUGGGAACGUACCCUUUUCUACGGAAUAGCCUCGGGAAACUGAGAGUAAUACCGUAUACGCCCUUAGGGGGAAAGAUUUAUCGGUGAAGGAUCGGCCCGCGUUAGAUUAGAUAUUUGGUGGGGUAAUGGCCUACCAAGCUACGAUCUAUAGCUGUUUUGAGAGGAUGAUCAGCAACACUGGGACUGAGACACGGCCCAGACUCCUAC